RNAcentral lists this ribosomal RNA (497 nucleotides) under uncultured bacterium. RNAcentral describes it as "partial 16S ribosomal RNA". It matches the Rfam family "Bacterial small subunit ribosomal RNA", at positions 28 to 507 of the family's 1533-position model. The record is from RNAcentral.
GAUGAACGCUGGCGGCGUGCCUAAUACAUGCAAGUCGAGCGAACGGACGAGAAGCUUGCUUCUCUGAUGUUAGCGGCGGACGGGUGAGUAACACGUGGAUAACCUACCUAUAAGACUGGGAUAACUUCGGGAAACCGGAGCUAAUACCGGAUGAUAUUUUGAACCGCAUGGUUCAAAAGUGAAAGACGGUCUUGCUGUCACUUAUAGAUGGAUCCGCGCUGCAUUAGCUAGUUGGUAAGGUAACGGGUUACCAAGGCAACGAUGCAUAGCCGACCUGAGAGGGUGAUCGGCCACACUGGAACUGGGACACGGUCCAGACUCCUACGGGAGGCAGCAGUAGGGAAUCUUCCGCAAUGGGCGAAAGCCUGACGGAGCAACGCCGCGUGAGUGAUGAAGGUCUUCGGAUCGUAAAACUCUGUUAUUAGGGAAGAACAUAUGUGUAAGUAACUGUGCACAUCUUGACGGUACCUAAUCAGAAAGCCACGGCUAACUACGUG